Molecule: non-coding RNA, 222 nt
Organism: Maylandia zebra (zebra mbuna)
Lineage: Eukaryota; Metazoa; Chordata; Actinopteri; Cichliformes; Cichlidae
Source: RefSeq, a predicted model, not a curated record
GCCCGUUCCUCCUGCACUAUCAGGAGCAGGAUCAGCAGAAACUCCUCAACAGCAACAUUGUACCCCAUCAGUGUGAACAGGAGCAUGACGAAGCAGCUGAUGUGGUUCAGGUCUUGCCAUCCACAAGUGAUACAGGAAAGAGAAAAUCAGACCUUCAAAGUGACCCCAGCAGGUUGCAGUCACCAGCUAAGCGACAGCGUCUGUCUAUGCCAGGAUUUGAAG